UAUGUAGGGUGCAAGCGUUGUCCGGAAUUAUUGGGCGUAAAGAGCUCGUAGGCGGUCUGUCACGUCGGCUGUGAAAUCCCGAGGCUCAACCUCGGGUCUGCAGUCGAUACGGGCAAACUAGAGUAUUGCAGGGGAGACUGGAAUUCCUGGUGUAGCGGUGAAAUGCGCAGAUAUCAGGAGGAACACCGGUGGCGAAGGCGGGUCUCUGGGCAAUAACUGACGCUGAGGAGCGAAAGCGUGGGGAGCGAACAGG
RNAcentral lists this ribosomal RNA (253 nucleotides) under uncultured bacterium. RNAcentral describes it as "partial 16S ribosomal RNA". It matches the Rfam family "Bacterial small subunit ribosomal RNA", at positions 524 to 776 of the family's 1533-position model. The record is from RNAcentral.